UACGUAGGGUGCAAGCGUUAAUCGGAAUUACUGGGCGUAAAGCGUGCGCAGGCGGUUAUGUAAGACAGAUGUGAAAUCCCCGGGCUCAACCUGGGGACUGCAUUUGUGACUGCAUAGCUAGAGUACGGUAGAGGGGGAUGGAAUUCCGCGUGUAGCAGUGAAAUGCGUAGAUAUGCGGAGGAACACCGAUGGCGAAGGCAAUCCCCUGGACCUGUACUGACGCUCAUGCACGAAAGCGUGGGGAGCAAACAGG
RNAcentral lists this ribosomal RNA (253 nucleotides) under uncultured bacterium. RNAcentral's name for it is "partial 16S ribosomal RNA". It matches the Rfam family "Bacterial small subunit ribosomal RNA", at positions 524 to 776 of the family's 1533-position model. The record is from RNAcentral.